AGAGUUUGAUCCUGGCUCAGAUUGAACGCUGGCGGCGUGCCUAACACAUGCAAGUCGAGCGCGUUUCGAAAGCUUGCUUUCGGAAUGAGCGGCGCACGGGUGAGUAACACGUGGAUAAUCUACCCAUCAGCUCGGGAUAACAGUUGGAAACGACUGCUAAUACCGUAUACGAUCUUUUUUUACGAUUAGGUGAAAGGGGGCCUCUGCAUAUGCUCUCGCUGAUGGAUGAGUCCGCGCCUCAUUAGGUAGUUGGUAGGGUAACGGCCUACCAAGCCGACGAUGAGUAGCCGGCCUGAGAGGGUAAUCGGCCACACUGGGACUGGAACACGGCCCAGACUCCUACGGGAGGCAGCAGUGGGGAAUAUUGCGCAAUGGGCGAAAGCCUGACGCAGCGACGCCGCGUGAGGGAUGAAGGCCUUCGGGUCGUAAACCUCUGUCAGGAGGGAAGAACGGCGCAGGUGCUAAUCAGCCUGCGAUUGACGGUACCUCCAAAGGAAGCACCGGCUAACUCCGUGCCAGCAGCCGCGGUAAUACGGAGGGUGCAAGCGUUAAUCGGAAUCACUGGGCGUAAAGCGCGCGUAGGCGGCAUUGUAAGUCAGGGGUGAAAUCCCACGGCCCACCCGUGGAACUGCCUUUGAUACUGCAUUGCUUGAGUGAGUGAGAGGAUAGUGGAAUUCCUGGUGUAGGAGUGAAAUCCGUAGAGAUCAGGAGGAACAUCAGUGGCGAAGGCGACUAUCUGGCACUAUACUGACGCUGAGGUGCGAAAGCAUGGGGAGCAAACAGGAUUAGAUACCCUGGUAGUCCAUGCUGUAAACGAUGGAUACUAGGUGCUGGGGGCUUGACCCUCGGUGCCGUAGCUAACGCGUUAAGUAUCCCGCCUGGGGAGUACGGUCGCAAGGCUGAAACUCAAAGAAAUUGACGGGGGCCCGCACAAGCGGUGGAGUAUGUGGUUUAAUUCGAUGCAACGCGA
RNAcentral lists this ribosomal RNA (970 nucleotides) under uncultured bacterium. RNAcentral's name for it is "bacterial SSU rRNA". It matches the Rfam family "Bacterial small subunit ribosomal RNA", at positions 8 to 964 of the family's 1533-position model. The record is from RNAcentral.